AUUGAACGCUGGCGGCAUGCUUUACACAUGCAAGUCGAACGGCAGCGCGGGCUUCGGCCUGGCGGCGAGUGGCGAACGGGUGAGUAAUGCAUCGGAACGUGCCCAGUAGUGGGGGAUAGCCCGGCGAAAGCCGGAUUAAUACCGCAUACGACCUGAGGGUGAAAGCGGGGGACCGAAAGGCCUCGCGCUAUUGGAGCGGCCGAUGUCGGAUUAGCUAGUUGGUGGAGUAAAGGCUUACCAAGGCGACGAUCCGUAGCUGGUCUGAGAGGACGACCAGCCACACUGGGACUGAGACACGGCCCAGACUCCUACGGGAGGCAGCAGUGGGGAAUUUUGGACAAUGGGGGCAACCCUGAUCCAGCCAUGCCGCGUGCGGGAAGAAGGCCUUCGGGUUGUAAACCGCUUUUGUUCGGGAAGAAAUCCUCUGGGCUAAUACCCCGGGGGGAUGACGGUACCGGAAGAAUAAGCAGCGGCUAACUACGUG
RNAcentral lists this ribosomal RNA (484 nucleotides) under uncultured bacterium. Its description in RNAcentral is "partial 16S ribosomal RNA". It matches the Rfam family "Bacterial small subunit ribosomal RNA", at positions 29 to 507 of the family's 1533-position model. The record is from RNAcentral.